GUGAGGAAUAUUGGUCAAUGGGCGGGAGCCUGAACCAGCCAAGUCGCGUGAAGGAAGAAGGAUCUAUGGUUCGUAAACUUCUUUUGCAGGGGAAUAAAGUGCAGGACGUGUCCUGUUUUGUAUGUACCCUGAGAAUAAGGAUCGGCUAACUCCGUGCCAGCAGCCGCGGUAAUACGGAGGAUCCGAGCGUUAUCCGGAUUUAUUGGGUUUAAAGGGUGCGUAGGUGGUUUGAUAAGUCAGCGGUGAAAGUUUGCAGCUUAACUGUAAAAAUGCCGUUGAAACUGUUAGACUUGAGUGUAAAUGAGGUAGGCGGAAUGCGUGGUGUAGCGGUGAAAUGCUUAGAUAUCACGCAGAACUCCGAUUGCGAAGGCAGCUUACCAAGCUACAACUGACACUGAAGCACGAAAGCGUGGGGAUCAAACAGGAUUAGAAACCCUGGUAGUCC
RNAcentral lists this ribosomal RNA (445 nucleotides) under uncultured bacterium. Its description in RNAcentral is "partial 16S ribosomal RNA". It matches the Rfam family "Bacterial small subunit ribosomal RNA", at positions 354 to 796 of the family's 1533-position model. The record is from RNAcentral.